RNAcentral lists this ribosomal RNA (48 nucleotides) under Diaporthe caulivora. RNAcentral's name for it is "partial large subunit ribosomal RNA". The record is from RNAcentral. Lineage: Eukaryota; Fungi; Ascomycota; Sordariomycetes; Diaporthales; Diaporthaceae.
UUGACCUCGGAUCAGGUAGGAAUACCCGAUGAAGUUAAUUCAUUCGUA